GAUGAACGCUGGCGGCGUGCCUAAUACAUGCAAGUCGAGCGAACAGACGAGGAGCUUGCUCCUCUGACGUUAGCGGCGGACGGGUGAGUAACACGUGGAUAACCUACCUAUAAGACUGGGAUCACUUCGGGAAACCGGAGCUAAUACCGGAUAAUAUAUUGAACCGCAUGGUUCAAUAGUGAAAUACGGUUUUUCUGUCACUUAUCGAUGGAUCCGCGCCGCAUUAGCUAGUUGGUAAGGUAACGGCUUACCAAGGCAACGAUGCGUAGCCGACCUGAGAGGGUGAUCGGCCACACUGGAACUGAGACACGGUCCAGACGCCUAAGGGAGGCAGCAGUAGGGAAUCUUCCGCAAUGGGCGAAAGCUUGACGGAGCAACGCCGCGUGAGUGAUGAAGGUCUUCGGAUCGUAAAACUCUGUUAUUAGGGAAGAACAAAUGUGUAAGUAACUAUGCACGGCUUGACGGUACCUAAUCAGAAAGCCACGGCUAACUACGUG
This 497-nucleotide ribosomal RNA is filed under the name uncultured bacterium. Its description in RNAcentral is "partial 16S ribosomal RNA". It matches the Rfam family "Bacterial small subunit ribosomal RNA", at positions 28 to 507 of the family's 1533-position model. The record is from RNAcentral.